CUGUUCUGCAUUAUGGAUUCAUUUCUGUACUCUCUUCCUCAAUGUACAAGUAAAGUGACAGUUAUAUAAAACCAUACACAAUAAAAUCAGGACUAUAAUAACAAAAUGAUAUAAGAAUGAUUUCAUUAUCUGGGAUCCAGUAGGGGACCAACCAGUAAAGCAUUGUACCAAUGAUGGGCUAAAUCAUUCUGAAUUUGUGAACUCACCUUAAGGAGUUCUCCUUUUAGGAUAUGUGUGGCUACCUGUGUGUGUUAUCUUUGGGAAAAAUAUAGUCCCCUGUGUAUGUGGGUGCCCACCAGGUUAAAUUCUUGGCAAAAAGAUCAUAAACUGGUACUGGCAAUGUGUUAAAUUGACAAGCUAAUUUAACAUCCUUUGAUGAUGUAUGAUAUAAUGUAAAAUAGCAUGAGCAUGAAAAAAUGUGAAACAUUACCAGUUAACCAUCCAUUGCAUUUAGUGGAUUGGGGUUUUAGAAGUAACCAUUCAUUAUCUGUGAGGUUAAGCAUCCCUCUAAUCUUCUCUAGUUUAGGAAUCAUUAGUGUGUUUUCUAAUGCCAAUCCUUGUUGUUGUAUCCAUAAAUACCUGAUGGCACAGGUACUCCAGUUACUUAAACCUGUAGUGAAUUUCAUAGUUGCAACAGUUAAAUUAUCUAAAUAAUUAUACAUUGAUUUAUCUAAAUCCAAUCCUGUAACCUGUGAUUUAACAACAAUUGGAGCCCAGUUUGCAGUAGCAUGGAAACCAGUCCCUAUAUGCAUGCUGGCUGUGUUUAACUUAUUCUUGAGGGUCUCCAUAUCUAUAACUAUUUAGUAUACCCAUAGUGGUUCCAGCACCUCCUAACAGUGUGUCAUACCAUUCCCUUUUCUGCCUUUGUUUGCUGUGUUACAUAAUGUUACAACAAGAGUAGUGACUUUUAAUGACACAUGUACAGCUUGUAAGAAGGCAGUUGUAUUAACACAUGUGGACGGAAUAGGUGUGUGUGUGUCGUGGUUGACUUUUGGUUCUAUGGUAGAGGAUAAAGGACAGUAAUAAGGUGUAAAAAUAUAAGGUAGUGUAUAGUUCUCAAUUGUAGUGUCGUUCAUAAUGACUAACAUUUGUCCCCUUUUCCAAUUAAUGAUACCAGUUAUAUAAUCAUUAUUAAAAGUAAUAAGGCCUGUCUGUUUACAUUGAUAUGCAACCUUAACUGUGCACAUUUCUGCGUUAUAAGAUCUAACAAUUUUCUGUGAACCUUUAAACAAACAUAAUGCAUCGGUUUCAUUAGCUGUAGACACAUUUCAUAUGGGUAACUGGUACUUAUAAGGGUUACUAUUUGUCCAAUUCAUCCAAAUGCGUUCAGUGAAUGAAUGAUUGCAUAUUGCAUGCUGAUAGAAAGGUGGUGGAGAAAGGUUCUUGAGGGGGCGUGUGUGACGAAUGCUAGAUGAGGGGCUAAGGCCUAAUUGGGCUGGGGGUAUUGAAGAAUUGUUCAUCAUGUCAGAGUCUUUUUUCCAGAAACAAACAGGUUUCAAACUUGCCAUUGACUUGUACUCAUAAUGGCAUUCAAGGAACAAUAUCAGAGGGAGUAUAACAACUCCAGAAAGCAUAGCGCACAACAUAAUCUUGGUCUCAGGUACGUAUGAUCCUCUCAAUCUACGAUAUGGUGUAAAAGCCAUGAUGCUUCGCUGAGGAGAAAUUCUUCUGUUUCCGAGCGAGGAGUGGUGUUGUCUUCCUUGGUUCCCCUCUUUGGACACAGCUUCACUCGGGAUGCGUGAAUCCAGAUGUCAUGGGAAUCUGUGAGGACAGCGGUUCUGGGUACAGCAAUCACAGUAGCAGGUGGUCCAAAAGGGUAUCCUCCUUUCUUGGUCCUGUUCAACUGACGGAUAUACACCUUGUCACCGGGCUGGUAUGAAUGAGUAGGUUCCUGUGAAGGUAAGGGAAAACUGCGAAGAAACAUUGUCAUACAUACCAUUCGGUUUUAUCAACAAUUCCUGUACAUAUUGUUCUUGUAUUAGCUGUAAAUCCCCAGACAUUAUAACAAGCGGUUCCCUGGCCCAGGGUGUGGGAAAAGGUCAUCCCAUCAAAAAUCUCAGAUGGAGAUAAUUUAGUCACCUUGUGAGGAAUCACUCUUAUCUCAGCUAAAAUAGCUGGUAGAUAUCUAGUCCAAUUUACCCAUGUUCCUGGGUAAAUUCUGGGCUUUUCCUUAAUAGUCCUAUUCAUCCUUUCAACUACCCCUGUAUUCUGUGGAUGAUAGGGUAUAUGAAACUGCCAGGUAACUUGCAAGAAUUUAGCAAGUUCCUGGGCAACCCCACUUGCAAAAACCGGGCCAUUAUCAGAGCCAAUCUGCAGAGGGCAGCAAUACCGGGGAAUAAUUUCAGUAACAAUAAUCUUCACUAGCAUCUUCCCUAGAUGUCACAAAGGCCUCAUGCCAUCUACUAAACUGAUCAACUAUGACCAGUAAGUAUUGCUGUUUCUUACCAAUUUUGGAUACAUGAAUAAAAUCAAUCUGUAAGUGUGUAAAAAGAGCAGCGUUCACACGAUCUUACAAAAGACUGUACAUGCUGCCUAAGAUUCCUAAUAUAAAAUGAAUUCAUGAAGAAUUGAAUGGUGCUUGCUAUGUGCCUGACUGAUGAAAAUAAAUCAGCUUGCUUCAAGUAUGCCUAUUCUUCAAGUAUGCCUAUUCUCCCCUCUUUAGAGAACAGAUCAUUUUGAUCUUUCUCUAAACCUUGUUUAAUCCAAAAGACAGAUUCUGGGUAUUUAAAAAAAGAAUCUCAUAACCACUGAAGCGCUGGGCUGUCAUGUGUUGUGUGGUGAGAUUUGUCAUCAGCUGAGUGACCUGGUGACUGGCAUGAAGUAUUGUAGGAUGCCCUAGUGUGAUAGUAGUAGCAGUUUCAACAGCCAUUGCACAUGCUAUCAAUGCUCUGAGACACGCCGGCAUACCCUGUACCGGAGCUUGAACUACUUUGGAAAAGAAUGCUAUGGGACGCAUACCGCCUCCUUGCUCUUGUGCACAGACUGCGGCCAUGGUUUUACAAUUGUCCCAAGCAUACAAAUGAAAUGGUUUACAAUACACAGGUAGUCCUAAAGCCUGGGCUUGCACAAUAACAACUGUAAGGGCAAUAUAUGCAGCUAGCAUGUCUGGUGACCAGCAGACAUUUUCAGGGCUGUCAGAACGUACAGCCUCCCUUAGGAUUGAGUCAUAAUGGGAGCAUUCAGGGAUCCAUUGGUGGCAGUAAUUAAUCAUGCCGAGGAAGGUGAGCAACUCCUUCCGAGUAGUGGGUGUUGGAAUCCUCUGAAUGACCUCAAUACGUUUUGGACUCAAUUGUCUGGUGCCUAAAGCCAGAACAAAACCUAAGUAUUCAACCUUUGAUUUACACAAUUGCAUUUUGUGUUUAACAACCUUGUGACCCACAGUUGCUGACAGUAUCCACAGUGCUUGCCUCAUAGCUAGGGCUACAUAACAACAAAUCAUCAACAUUUUGCAAAAAGGACGGAACCAUGACCGGUGGUCCAUGUUGUUUAGAGUAUGUUGGAGUACCAACGAAUAAACAGCUGGGGAAUCCACAUAGCCUUGGGUAAGCGUGUCCAGGUAAACUGACAGCCUUCAAAAAGUAAAAACCAUAAGUAGCUGUGUCUCUUGAUCAAUAGGUAUAGAAAAAAUGCAUUACUUAAAUCAAUGACAGUGAAGCAAGUGGCAUCAUGUGGAAUGGCUGUAAUGAGGGAUGUCACAUCAGGGACAAUGGGUGAAAUGGGCACAAUUAAACUAUUCAGGGCUCUAAAGUCCUGAACUAAGCGAUAUGCUGGCCAGUGGUGUUGGGAGUGGGUCUGGUGUUGUUCUUGCCUACCGGGCAUAUUUUGAGAAUUGUGGGGUUGUUGGGGUGUGUGGGGUUUCCUGGGGUGUGGACACUCAUUCCUCCAGUGGCCAUAUUGGCCACAGUUGAAACAAGUGUUCCUGUCUAUUCCUCCUUGGUUACCCCUGCCCCUAUAACCCUGAUUUCCCUGUCUCCAUCCCCUUGCCCCUCUUUGACCACCCCUUCCACGGGCUUUAUGUGCUCCAUCCCAUCCUCGCUCUCAGCCUGUGUAGGUGGCAAUCCCUGAGCAUAAUA
RNAcentral lists this long non-coding RNA (4073 nucleotides) under Pelobates cultripes (western spadefoot toad). The record is from RNAcentral. Lineage: Eukaryota; Metazoa; Chordata; Amphibia; Anura; Pelobatidae.